RNAcentral lists this ribosomal RNA (253 nucleotides) under uncultured bacterium. RNAcentral's name for it is "partial 16S ribosomal RNA". It matches the Rfam family "Bacterial small subunit ribosomal RNA", at positions 524 to 776 of the family's 1533-position model. The record is from RNAcentral.
UACGAAGGGGGCUAGCGUUGCUCGGAAUCACUGGGCGUAAAGCGCACGUAGGCGGAUUGUUAAGUCAGGGGUGAAAUCCUGGAGCUCAACUCCAGAACUGCCUUUGAUACUGGCAAUCUCGAGUUCGGGAGAGGUGAGUGGAACUGCGAGUGUAGAGGUGAAAUUCGUAGAUAUUCGCAAGAACACCAGUGGCGAAGGCGGCUCACUGGCCCGAUACUGACGCUGAGGCACGAAAGCGUGGGGAGCAAACAGG